GGAAUAUCAUGUAACAAAUGGCUCGAAGUUGACUAUUGAAAAAUUGGGGAGAUUUUUAUUUCCUAGUGAAUCAGCAAGGCAUUUUUUGGUUGUUGUUUAAAAAAGUAUCAUUUCCUUAUAGAAACAGUUUUCAGAUUUUAGUGAACUUGUAAAACAUAAAAGCUCCCAUUUCAAAAUAUGAACAAAAUCCCAGAUCAUAUAGGUGUUUACGGUGAUUACAUUUAUCUAAGCCAUGUACAUACAUGUUCAGUUGUAAGAUGUUAACUAAAUUUCUGUGACAAAUAUGGUUGUUGUUGUUUUUUAAAUACCGAGAACAUGAUAGAGUUAAUGUGGAAUUCUAAAGAUAAUCUGGUAGUUACUAAGAUUUUCUUAUGUCUUCACAGGUAAGCAGGCGGAAUCUUUCCUAUUCUCAAAACUGGAAUUUUUGGUUACUACUAGAUCAGCUGGCUUACAGACAAGAAGCCAACCAUUUUAAGAAUGCUCUUUAUGUGAACAAUUUGCAAACCCCAGGGAUGGAGAAACCCUAAAAAUGCUCAAUCAUAAGCAUUUACAACCUUUGCAGCUGUGGCUGAAGACUAUCCUUCUGAAAUGAUAUCUCAAAGCAGUCUAGUUCAAAAUAAAAAGUUUUAACAAAAAAUUGGCAUAUGGACAAUGUCUCCACCAAUUCGUGUGUGUCAACCAUUUAGUUAACUUUUCUACUUGAAUAAAUGCAAUAGAAAACCAGACACCACGUUUCACUACCUCAGUUAAUAUUCACAAUUACAGCAGCUACACUUUGGGAUACAGCAUCACCAACGCUCCCCAGAGUCAGUUUAUAUUGAAAUAAAGUUUUUUACACCAACUAAAUGGUUGUCCACAGCCACUAGCUGGUGUACAUAUGAACUACAAUUUCUAGAUGUGGGGAGAAACAAAUGCUGCUCGAAUCAUCUGCUCUGCUUCUUCUGUUCCUCAUUCACGCUUAGUUAUCUUUCACAUUAUUCUUGUUUUUUUCAGUUUGCUUGCCUGUCUGGGUUUGGGCCUGCUGACCCUGCCCACUGGAAGAGGCUGCCUGCUGUGCUGCUUUCUGCUUUAACAUCGUCCAAUCAAAUGUGUAGUCAUAUUGGUGGUUCAGGGUCCUGAAAAGAAUGCGGAAUAGCUGCCUCAGAUACAUGUAAUCUGGGACUUCCUCAAAGCGCAGCCCACGACAGUAGUUCAAGUACAUGGCGAAUUCUGCAGGAAACCCCUUACAUAAAACUUCAACAGGGGUGGACACCUUCUUCUCACUAAUCUUUUCAUAUUUUUGUUUUUUUGUCAUAGCCCUUAGUCCUUGCCACGGCAGGCUGGUUCUAUUAAAAUACAUGAAAACGUAGCCUAAGGAUUCCAUGUCAUCUCGGCGGCUCUGCUCAAUACCAAGAUGUGCAUUGAUGCUGGCAUAUCGGACAGUGCCAAUGAGGUGUUUAUCUUCUCUGUACGGAUUCCACAGAGAAGUUCUGGCAAAACUGACUAAAUGAAGGAUUCAAGUAAAAUUUAACCAAAAUAUGGAGAAG
This 1526-nucleotide long non-coding RNA is filed under the name Pan troglodytes (chimpanzee). Its description in RNAcentral is "long non-coding RNA NONPTRT004263". The record is from RNAcentral. Lineage: Eukaryota; Metazoa; Chordata; Mammalia; Primates; Hominidae.